This 1486-nucleotide ribosomal RNA is filed under the name uncultured organism. Its description in RNAcentral is "SSU rRNA". It matches the Rfam family "Bacterial small subunit ribosomal RNA". The record is from RNAcentral.
GAACGCUGGCGGCGUGCCUAAUACAUGCAAGUCGAACGAACUCUGGUAUUGAUUGGUGCUUGCAUCAUGAUUUACAUUUGAGUGAGUGGCGAACUGGUGAGUAACACGUGGGAAACCUGCCCAGAAGCGGGGGAUAACACCUGGAAACAGAUGCUAAUACCGCAUAACAACUUGGACCGCAUGGUCCGAGUUUGAAAGAUGGCUUCGGCUAUCACUUUUGGAUGGUCCCGCGGCGUAUUAGCUAGAUGGUGGGGUAACGGCUCACCAUGGCAAUGAUACGUAGCCGACCUGAGAGGGUAAUCGGCCACAUUGGGACUGAGACACGGCCCAAACUCCUACGGGAGGCAGCAGUAGGGAAUCUUCCACAAUGGACGAAAGUCUGAUGGAGCAACGCCGCGUGAGUGAAGAAGGGUUUCGGCUCGUAAAACUCUGUUGUUAAAGAAGAACAUAUCUGAGAGUAACUGUUCAGGUAUUGACGGUAUUUAACCAGAAAGCCACGGCUAACUACGUGCCAGCAGCCGCGGUAAUACGUAGGUGGCAAGCGUUGUCCGGAUUUAUUGGGCGUAAAGCGAGCGCAGGCGGUUUUUUAAGUCUGAUGUGAAAGCCUUCGGCUCAACCGAAGAAGUGCAUCGGAAACUGGGAAACUUGAGUGCAGAAGAGGACAGUGGAACUCCAUGUGUAGCGGUGAAAUGCGUAGAUAUAUGGAAGAACACCAGUGGCGAAGGCGGCUGUCUGGUCUGUAACUGACGCUGAGGCUCGAAAGUAUGGGUAGCAAAACAGGAUUAGAUACCCUGGUAGUCCAUACCGUAAACGAUGAAUGCUAAGUGUUGGAGGGUUUCCGCCCUUCAGUGCUGCAGCUAACGCAUUAAGCAUUCCGCCUGGGGAGUACGGCCGCAAGGCUGAAACUCAAAGGAAUUGACGGGGGCCCGCACAAGCGGUGGAGCAUGUGGUUUAAUUCGAAGCUACGCGAAGAACCUUACCAGGUCUUGACAUACUAUGCAAAUCUAAGAGAUUAGACGUUCCCUUCGGGGACAUGGAUACAGGUGGUGCAUGGUUGUCGUCAGCUCGUGUCGUGAGAUGUUGGGUUAAGUCCCGCAACGAGCGCAACCCUUAUUAUCAGUUGCCAGCAUUAAGUUGGGCACUCUGGUGAGACUGCCGGCGACAAACCGGAGGAAGGUGGGGAUGACGUCAAAUCAUCAUGCCCCUUAUGACCUGGGCUACACACGUGCUACAAUGGAUGGUACAACGAGUUGCGAACUCGCGAGAGUAAGCUAAUCUCUUAAAGCCAUUCUCAGUUCGGAUUGUAGGCUGCAACUCGCCUACAUGAAGUCGGAAUCGCUAGUAAUCGCGGAUCAGCAUGCCGCGGUGAAUACGUUCCCGGGCCUUGUACACACCGCCCGUCACACCAUGAGAGUUUGUAACACCCAAAGUCGGUGGGGUAACCUUUUAGGAACCAGCCGCCUAAGGUGGGACAGAUGAUUAGGGU